This 1350-nucleotide ribosomal RNA is filed under the name Burkholderia pseudomallei STW 214. RNAcentral's name for it is "bacterial LSU rRNA". It matches the Rfam family "Bacterial large subunit ribosomal RNA", at positions 1584 to 2925 of the family's 2925-position model. The record is from RNAcentral. Lineage: Bacteria; Pseudomonadati; Pseudomonadota; Betaproteobacteria; Burkholderiales; Burkholderiaceae.
AGCGAAGCAAUUGGAAGUGGUUCCAAGAAAAGCCUCUAAGCUUCAGUCUAACGAUGACCGUACCGCAAACCGACACAGGUGGGCGAGAUGAGUAUUCUAAGGCGCUUGAGAGAACUCGGGAGAAGGAACUCGGCAAAUUGGUACCGUAACUUCGGGAUAAGGUACGCCCUGGUAGCUUGACUGGCCUGCGCCAGAAGGGUGAAGGGGUUGCAAUAAACUGGUGGCUGCGACUGUUUAAUAAAAACACAGCACUCUGCAAACACGAAAGUGGACGUAUAGGGUGUGACGCCUGCCCGGUGCCGGAAGAUUAAAUGAUGGGGUGCAAGCUCUUGAUUGAAGUCCCGGUAAACGGCGGCCGUAACUAUAACGGUCCUAAGGUAGCGAAAUUCCUUGUCGGGUAAGUUCCGACCUGCACGAAUGGCGUAACGAUGGCCACACUGUCUCCUCCCGAGACUCAGCGAAGUUGAAGUGUUUGUGAUGAUGCAAUCUACCCGCGGCUAGACGGAAAGACCCCAUGAACCUUUACUGUAGCUUUGCAUUGGACUUUGAACCGAUCUGUGUAGGAUAGGUGGGAGGCUAUGAAACCGGAACGCUAGUUUCGGUGGAGCCGUCCUUGAAAUACCACCCUGGUUUGUUUGAGGUUCUAACCUUGGCCCGUGAUCCGGGUCGGGGACAGUGCAUGGUAGGCAGUUUGACUGGGGCGGUCUCCUCCCAAAGCGUAACGGAGGAGUACGAAGGUACGCUAGGUACGGUCGGAAAUCGUGCUGAUAGUGCAAUGGCAUAAGCGUGCUUAACUGCGAGACCGACAAGUCGAGCAGGUGCGAAAGCAGGUCAUAGUGAUCCGGUGGUUCUGUAUGGAAGGGCCAUCGCUCAACGGAUAAAAGGUACUCUGGGGAUAACAGGCUGAUACCGCCCAAGAGUUCAUAUCGACGGCGGUGUUUGGCACCUCGAUGUCGGCUCAUCUCAUCCUGGGGCUGUAGCCGGUCCCAAGGGUAUGGCUGUUCGCCAUUUAAAGAGGUACGUGAGCUGGGUUUAAAACGUCGUGAGACAGUUUGGUCCCUAUCUGCCGUGGGCGUUGGAAGUUUGAAGGGGGCUGCUCCUAGUACGAGAGGACCGGAGUGGACGAACCUCUGGUGUACCGGUUGUGACGCCAGUCGCAUCGCCGGGUAGCUAUGUUCGGAAGAGAUAACCGCUGAAAGCAUCUAAGCGGGAAACUCGCCUUAAGAUGAGACUUCCCCGGGGACUUGAUCCCCUUGAAGGGUCGUUCGAGACCAGGACGUUGAUAGGUCGGGUGUGUAAGCGCAGUAAUGCGUUCAGCUAACCGAUACUAAUUGCCCGUACGGCUUGAUC